RNAcentral lists this ribosomal RNA (551 nucleotides) under uncultured Paraglomus. Its description in RNAcentral is "SSU rRNA". It matches the Rfam family "Eukaryotic small subunit ribosomal RNA", at positions 550 to 1114 of the family's 1831-position model. Lineage: Eukaryota; Fungi; Glomeromycota; Glomeromycetes; Paraglomerales; Paraglomeraceae. The record is from RNAcentral.
UUGGAGGGCAAGUCUGGUGCCAGCAGCCGCGGUAAUUCCAGCUCCAAUAGCGUAUAUUAAAGUUGUUGCAGUUAAAAAGCUCGUAGUUGAAUUUCAGGCCUGGCUGGACGGUCCGCCCUUCGGGUGAGUACUGUCUGUGGUCGGGUCCUACCUUCUGGCGAAGCGUCAUGGCCUUAACCGGCCGUGGCGGGGAACCAGGACUUUUACUGUGAAAAAAUUAGAGUGUUCAAAGCAGGCAAUCGCUUGGAUACAUUAGCAUGGAAUAAUGGAAUAGGGCAAUGGUUCUAUUUGUUGGUUUCUAGGACCGUUGUAAUGAUUAAUAGGGAUAGUUGGGGGCAUUAGUAUUCAAUYGUCAGAGGUGAAAUUCUUGGAUUUAUUGAAGACUAACUACUGCGAAAGCAUUUGCCAAGGAUGUUUUCAUUAAUCAAGAACGAAAGUUAGGGGAUCGAAGACGAUCAGAUACCGUCGUAGUCUUAACCAUAAACUAUGCCGACUAGGAAUCGGGCGAUGUUGAAAAAAUGACGCGCUCGGCACCCUAUGGGAAACCAAAG